UGGGGAAUAUUGGGCAAUGGGGGAAACCCUGACCCAGCAACGCCGCGUGAGGGAAGAAGGUUUUCGGAUUGUAAACCUCUGUCCUUGGUGACGAAGGAAGUGACGGUAGCCAAGGAGGAAGCCCCGGCUAACUACGUGCCAGCAGCCGCGGUAAUACGUAGGGGGCGAGCGUUGUCCGGAAUGACUGGGCGUAAAGGGCGUGUAGGCGGCGGUAUAAGUCUGGAGUGAAAGUCCUUCUUUUAAGGAGGGAAUUGCUUUGGAGACUGUACAGCUUGAGUGCGGAAGAGGUAAGUGGAAUUCCCAGUGUAGCGGUGAAAUGCGUAGAGAUUGGGAGGAACACCAGUGGCGAAGGCGACUUACUGGGCCGUAACUGACGCUGAGGCGCGAAAGCGUGGGGAGCGAACAGG
Molecule: ribosomal RNA, 407 nt
Filed under: uncultured bacterium
Lineage: Bacteria
Description: bacterial SSU rRNA
Rfam family: Bacterial small subunit ribosomal RNA
Source: RNAcentral